Molecule: long non-coding RNA, 866 nt
Organism: Homo sapiens (human)
Lineage: Eukaryota; Metazoa; Chordata; Mammalia; Primates; Hominidae
Exons: 3
Source: RefSeq, a predicted model, not a curated record
UUUGCAUGUAAUGGUCCUUGGCCUAUAACUAGUUUUUCUUUUGUAAGUGUGUCAAACAGCUGUUCUCAGAUAUUCUAAUUUGCUUUCUUCUAGGCAUAUGGUAGAACUGAACUUUGUUCUACUGAAAUUGCUCAUUGCCAUGUGAUUUGCUUUGGCGAAUGAAAUGAAACUGAAGGUGAUGUGUGGACUCUUCUUGGGGGAGGCAUUUCAUUGCCAGUGACAGAGAUGAAGUCUCACCAUAUUGCCCAGGCUGGUUUCAAACUCUUGGACUUAAGCAAUCCUCCCACCUCGCCUCCCAAAGUGCCAGGAACACACUUAUGUCUCUUACAGCCAUGGAAACAAUGAACUGCUAACAUGUGUUUUUAGAAAGAAUGUGGAAGUAUGGGAACCUCUUCCUUUAUGUGGUAAUUGAGGACUAGGCCAGGCACAGUGGCUCACACCUGUAAUCCCAGCACUUUGGGAGGCUGAGAAAGGCAGAUCACUUGAGGUCAUGAGUUCGAGACCAGCCUGGCCAACGUGGUGAAACCCAGUCUCAACUAAAAAUACAAAAAAUUAGCUGGGCUUGGUGGCGCAUGCCUGUAAUCCCAGCUACUUGGGAGGCUGAGGCAGGAGAAUCACUUGAGCCUGGGUGGUGGAGGUUGCAAUGAGCUGAGAUCGCGUCACUGCACUUCAGCCUGGACAACAGAAUGAGACCCUGUCUCAAAACAACAACAACUACUACUAUUGUUUUUAUACUGUACAAUGUUAAAAUUUUUCAAAUGAUAGAAAAAGUUUUAAAAUAAGUCUUUGGUCUAUCACCUAGUACUUAGUCCUACAAUCUUCAGAGUUUGUUUAUCAUUUCCAGCCAAUAAAUGCCUUUCCAUAAA